This 256-nucleotide ribosomal RNA is filed under the name uncultured bacterium. RNAcentral's name for it is "partial 16S ribosomal RNA". It matches the Rfam family "Bacterial small subunit ribosomal RNA", at positions 521 to 776 of the family's 1533-position model. The record is from RNAcentral.
UAAUACGUAGGGCGCAAGCGUUUUCCGGAAUUAUUGGGCGUAAAGAGCUCGUAGGCGGUUUGUCGCGUCUGCUGUGAAAACCCGAGGCUCAACCUCGGGCCUGCAGUGGGUACGGGCAGACUAGAGUGAUGUAGGGGAGACUGGAAUUCCUGGUGUAGCGGUGAAAUGCGCAGAUAUCAGGAGGAACACCGAUGGCGAAGGCAGGUCUCUGGGCAUUUACUGACGCUGAGGAGCGAAAGCAUGGGGAGCGAACAGG